This 322-nucleotide ribosomal RNA is filed under the name uncultured Pseudomonadota bacterium. RNAcentral describes it as "bacterial SSU rRNA". It matches the Rfam family "Bacterial small subunit ribosomal RNA", at positions 28 to 351 of the family's 1533-position model. The record is from RNAcentral. Lineage: Bacteria; Pseudomonadati; Pseudomonadota.
GACGAACGCUGGCGGCGUGCUUAACACAUGCAAGUCGAACGGGAUCCUGGCUUCGGUCAGGUGAGAGUGGCGAACGGGUGAGUAACGCGUAGGCAAUCUGCCCUUGGGUGGGGGAUAGCCCCGGGAAACCGGGAUUAAUACCGCAUGAAGCGACGGCCUCGCAUGGGGUUGUUGUUAAAGAUUUAUUGCCCAGGGAUGAGCCUGCGUUGCAUUAGCUAGUUGGUGGGGUAACGGCUCACCAAGGCGACGAUGCAUAGCUGGUCUGAGAGGAUGAUCAGCCACACUGGGACUGAGAUACGGCCCAGACUCCUACGGGUGGCAG